UGCCAGCCGCCGCGGUAAUACGAAGGGUGCUAGCGUUGUUCGGAAUAACUGGGCGUAAAGGGUACGUAGGCGGUUUUGUAAGUUAGAUGUGAAAUCCCAGGGCUCAACCUUGGAACUGCAUUUAAAACUGCAAAACUUGAGAUCGGAAGAGGAAAGCGGAAUUUCUAGUGUAGAGGUGAAAUUCGUAGAUAUCGGGAGGAAUACCGGUGGCGAAGGCGACCACCUGGCCAAAUACUGACGCUGAGGUGCGAAAGUGUGGGGAGCAAACAGGAUUAGAUA
RNAcentral lists this ribosomal RNA (279 nucleotides) under uncultured bacterium. Its description in RNAcentral is "partial 16S ribosomal RNA". It matches the Rfam family "Bacterial small subunit ribosomal RNA", at positions 506 to 784 of the family's 1533-position model. The record is from RNAcentral.